UACGGAGGAGGCAAGCGUUAUCCGGAAUUAUUGGGCGGAAAGAGCUCGUAGGCGGUUUGUCGCGUCUGCCGUGAAAGUCCGGGGCUCAACUCCGGAUCUGCGGUGGGUACGGGCAGACUAGAGUGAUGUAGGGGAGACUGGAAUUCCUGGUGUAGCGGUGAAAUGCGCAGAUAUCAGGAGGAACACCGGUGGCGAAGGCGGUUCUCUGGGUCGGCCCUGACGCUGAGGCACGAAAGCGUGGGGAGCGAACGGG
Molecule: ribosomal RNA, 253 nt
Filed under: uncultured bacterium
Lineage: Bacteria
Description: partial 16S ribosomal RNA
Rfam family: Bacterial small subunit ribosomal RNA
Source: RNAcentral